Molecule: transfer RNA, 72 nt
Filed under: Trapezia septata
Lineage: Eukaryota; Metazoa; Arthropoda; Malacostraca; Decapoda; Trapeziidae
Description: tRNA-Lys
Source: RNAcentral
CACCCGAUGACUGAAAGUAAGUUUAGGUCUUUUAAACCUAAUAUAGUAUUUUUUAACGCCUACUUCUGGUGA